RNAcentral lists this ribosomal RNA (114 nucleotides) under Pseudazoarcus pumilus. The record is from RNAcentral. Lineage: Bacteria; Pseudomonadati; Pseudomonadota; Betaproteobacteria; Rhodocyclales; Zoogloeaceae.
UCUGACGACCAUAGCAGCCUGGAACCACACCUUCCCAUCCCGAACAGGAACGUGAAACAGGCCCGCGCCGAUGAUAGUGCAGAUUACCUGUGUGAAAGUAGGUCAUCGUCAGAC